AGCAGCCGCGGUAAUUCCAGCUCCAAUAGCGUAUAUUAAAGUUGUUGCAGUUAAAAAGCUCGUAGUUGAAUUUCGGGGUNAGUAGGUUGGUCAUGCCUCUGGUAUGUACUGGUCUCACUGAUUCCUCCUUCCUGAUGANCCGUAAUGCCAUUAAUUUGGUGUUGCGGGGAAUUUGGACUGUUACUUUGAAAAAAUUAGAGUGUUUAAAGCANGCUAACGCUUGAAUACAUUAGCAUGGAAUAAUGAAAUAGGACGUUCGAUCCUAUUUUGUUGGUUUCUAGGAUUGACGUAAUGAUUAAUAGGGAUAGUUGGGGGCAUUAGUAUUCAAUUGUCAGAGGUGAAAUUCUUGGAUUUAUUGAAGACUAACUACUGCGAAAGCAUUUGCCAAGGAUGUUUUCAUUAAUCAAGAACGAAAGUUAGGGGAUCGAAGACGAUCAGAUACCGUCGUAGUCUUAACCAUAAACUAUGCCGACUAGGGAUCGGAUGAUGUUAAUUUUUUAAUGACUCA
RNAcentral lists this ribosomal RNA (508 nucleotides) under uncultured Glomus. RNAcentral's name for it is "SSU rRNA". It matches the Rfam family "Eukaryotic small subunit ribosomal RNA", at positions 569 to 1078 of the family's 1831-position model. Lineage: Eukaryota; Fungi; Glomeromycota; Glomeromycetes; Glomerales; Glomeraceae. The record is from RNAcentral.